AGAGUUUGAUCCUGGCUCAGGACGAACGCUGGCGGCGUGCUUAACACAUGCAAGUCGAACGAUGACGGUGGUGCUUGCACCACCUGAUUAGUGGCGAACGGGUGAGUAACACGUGAGUAACCUGCCCUUCACUUCGGGAUAACCUCGGGAAAUCGUGGCUAAUACCGGAUAUGAGCUCCUACCGCAUGGUGGGUGUUGGAAAGAUUUAUCGGUGAAGGAUGGACUCGCGGCCUAUCAGUUUGUUGGUGAGGUAAUGGCUCACCAAGGCGAUGACGGGUAGCCGGCCUGAGAGGGCGACCGGCCACACUGGGACUGAGACACGGCCCAGACUCCUACGGGAGGCAGCAGUGGGGAAUAUUGCACAAUGGGCGAAAGCCUGAUGCAGCGACGCCGCGUGGGGGAUGACGGCCUUCGGGUUGUAAACCCCUUUCAGUAGGGAAGAAGCGAAAGUGACGGUACCUGCAGAAGAAGCGCCGGCUAACUACGUGCCAGCAGCCGCGGUAAUACGUAGGGCGCAAGCGUUGUCCGGAAUUAUUGGGCGUAAAGAGCUCGUAGGUGGCUUGUCGCGUCUGCCGUGAAAACCCGAGGCUCAACCUCGGGCGUGCGGUGGGUACGGGCAGGCUAGAGUGUGGUAGGGGAGACUGGAACUCCUGGUGUAGCGGUGAAAUG
This 669-nucleotide ribosomal RNA is filed under the name Brachybacterium sp. NB6(2010). RNAcentral's name for it is "bacterial SSU rRNA". It matches the Rfam family "Bacterial small subunit ribosomal RNA", at positions 8 to 688 of the family's 1533-position model. Lineage: Bacteria; Bacillati; Actinomycetota; Actinomycetes; Micrococcales; Dermabacteraceae. The record is from RNAcentral.